UAAAUUUUGGUUAAGUGGGUAAAUGUUUGAUUCAUUAAUCUAAAGGUCUAAGGUUCGAAUCCUUUUGAUGGGA
Meloidogyne enterolobii is the source of this 73-nucleotide non-coding RNA. Lineage: Eukaryota; Metazoa; Nematoda; Chromadorea; Rhabditida; Meloidogynidae. The record is from the annotation of a GenBank genome assembly.